RNAcentral lists this ribosomal RNA (485 nucleotides) under Leptographium lundbergii. RNAcentral's name for it is "SSU rRNA". It matches the Rfam family "Eukaryotic small subunit ribosomal RNA", at positions 405 to 895 of the family's 1831-position model. Lineage: Eukaryota; Fungi; Ascomycota; Sordariomycetes; Ophiostomatales; Ophiostomataceae. The record is from RNAcentral. RNAcentral also lists the same sequence under 2 other names.
GGCUACUACAUCCAAGGAAGGCAGCAGGCGCGCAAAUUACCCAAUCCCGACGCGGGGAGGUAGUGACAAUAAAUACUGAUACAGGGCUCUUUUGGGUCUUGUAAUUGGAAUGAGUACAAUUUAAUUCCCUUAACGAGGAACAAUUGGAGGGCAAGUCUGGUGCCAGCAGCCGCGGUAAUUCCAGCUCCAAUAGCGUAUAUUAAAGUUGUUGCAGUUAAAAAGCUCGUAGUUGAACCUUGGGCCUGGCUGGCCGGUCCGCCUCACCGCGUGCACUGGUCCGGCCGGGCCUUUCCCUCUGGGGAGCCGCAUGCCCUUCACUGGGCGUGUCGGGGAACCAGGACUUUUACUUUGAAAAAAUUAGAGUGUUCAAAGCAGGCUUAUGCUCGGAUACAUUAGCAUGGAAUAAUAGAAUAGGACGUGCGGUUCUAUUUUGUUGGUUUCUAGGACCGCCGUAAUGAUUAAUAGGGACAGUCGGGGGCAUCAGU